UGGCAGAGGUUACUGCUAUCGGUGUUCGCCUAAGCCAUGCGAGUCAUAUGUAGCAAUACAUGGCGUACUGCUCAGUAACACGUGGAUAACCUGCCCUUGGGACCGGCAUAACCCCGGGAAACUGGGGAUAAUUCCGGAUAACGCAUAUUUGCUGGAAUGCUUUAUGCGUCAAAAGGAUUCGUCUGCCCAAGGAUGGGUCUGCGGCCUAUCAGGUAGUAGUGGGUGUAAUGUACCUACUAGCCAGCGACGGGUACGGGUUGUGAGAGCAAGAGCCCGGAGAUGGAUUCUGAGACAUGAAUCCAGGCCCUACGGGGCGCAGCAGGCGCGAAAACUUUACAAUGCGGGAAACCGUGAUAAGGGGACACCGAGUGCCAGCAUCAUAUGCUGGCUGUCCGGAUGUGUAAAAUACAUCCGUUAGCAAGGGCCGGGCAAGACCGGUGCCAGCCGCCGCGGUAACACCGGCGGCCCGAGUGGUGAUCGUGAUUAUUGGGUCUAAAGGGUCCGUAGCCGGUUUGGUCAGUCCUCCGGGAAAUCUGAUAGCUCAACUAUUAGGCUUUCGGGGGAUACUGCCAGACUUGGAACCGGGAGAGGUAAGAGGUACUACAGGGGUAGGAGUGAAAUCUUGUAAUCCCUGUGGGACCACCUGUGGCGAAGGCGUCUUACCAGAACGGGUUCGACGGUGAGGGACGAAAGCUGGGGGCACGAACCGGAUUAGAUACCCGGGUAGUCCCAGCCGUAAACGAUGCUCGCUAGGUGUCAGGCAUGGCGCGACCGUGUCUGGUGCCGCAGGGAAGCCGUGAAGCGAGCCACCUGGGAAGUACGGCCGCAAGGCUGAAACUUAA
Molecule: ribosomal RNA, 842 nt
Filed under: uncultured archaeon
Lineage: Archaea
Description: bacterial SSU rRNA
Rfam family: Archaeal small subunit ribosomal RNA
Source: RNAcentral